AGUACUCCAAAUACACAGUUUAUGAAGACUGUGAUCAUGUAAACAGAAAAAUUUGUCAUUUCCAUCUCAUUGAAAAAAGACUCCAACUUAGUCAGAAAGCCUUUCUAAUCUUCCUGCUAAACCUGAACAGCUCUGGGACAUGUAAUGACUACAGAAGUAAUUUCAGAAACUUCUGGAGGGAAACACCACGCCAAUGAAUGUGUCUGUGGUUCAGAGUUAUUAGCUUGAUGCCCAAAUGCAUAUCAUAUUUGCAAGAGGCAAUUUACAAUCUGCUCGUCUUGACAAAUGUAGCACAAGGGGAUUUAAAUCCCUGCAUUUGCAAUUUCUGUCUCUCCUUCUCCAAAUUUAUGGCGAAAUUGUAGACACAAAUAACGUGUCAGGGUUGAAUGAACUGAGGUUUCUGCUCUGCUUCCACAGUUCCAUUUCACUCAAAGGAGAGUAAUAAAUGGAAAGCAAAGUCUCAGCAGAUAAUGAAUCUGAGUCCUGAUGACCUUCCUGAACUACAAAUUGGAUUUGUAAUUUCCUUGGCAUUGCCCAAACCAUUUGGUGCCUAUAGUGAGAACUAAACCAAACAAAUCAUGAAGUAAAGUAAAAGAAGAAAACAUCAGAUUUUCAUGACUCUAACCUCCUCAACUUCAUUCAACCAUCCAUCCAUGUAUAUAUCCAUCUGGUAGGUCCACAAACACUUACUUUAUUGCAACUGUUGUCCACUCUACCAAGUAAAAUAGAAUUCCCUUUGGAAUUUACUAUGCACUUUUCUCAUCCAAAAUUAUGUAAAUCAGUUUGAGCCAAGAAAUCCAGUAGGAAUAGCCAUGGUUUCUGCAACCAUCCACCUGUACGCUGAGGAUGCCCAAAUUUCUACCUGGAACCCUGACAUCACAGACUCAAUCUCCUGCCACGCACCUGUACAUUAGUAUUUGGAUGUCCCACUAAACUGAAUCUGAACAUG
Long non-coding RNA from Manis pentadactyla (Chinese pangolin), 949 nucleotides. RefSeq lists it as uncharacterized. The transcript is spliced from 2 exons. The record is from RefSeq and is a predicted model, not a curated record. Lineage: Eukaryota; Metazoa; Chordata; Mammalia; Pholidota; Manidae.